GCCCAAGUGGCGGAAUUGGUAGACGCGCUCGUUUCAGGGGCGAGUUUUCGUAAGAAAGUGCAGGUUCGACUCCUGUCUUGGGCA
RNAcentral lists this transfer RNA (84 nucleotides) under Alistipes sp. Its description in RNAcentral is "tRNA-Leu". It matches the Rfam family "tRNA". From Rfam's summary of the family: Transfer RNA (tRNA) molecules are approximately 80 nucleotides in length. Their secondary structure includes four short double-helical elements and three loops (D, anti-codon, and T loops). The record is from RNAcentral. Lineage: Bacteria; Pseudomonadati; Bacteroidota; Bacteroidia; Bacteroidales; Rikenellaceae.